This 409-nucleotide long non-coding RNA is filed under the name Pan troglodytes (chimpanzee). Its description in RNAcentral is "long non-coding RNA NONPTRT000747". Lineage: Eukaryota; Metazoa; Chordata; Mammalia; Primates; Hominidae. The record is from RNAcentral.
AUGCAGAAGACUUAACACUAUUAGCCAAUUCUAUCACUGACAUUUAUAGAAUAUUCUACACAAGAGCAAAGUACCUAUGGCAAUUGUACUAUCUGUGAAAUGAUAUGGUGCUAUUUAAAAGAGGACUUGAAUUAGUUAUAAGUGUAUACUUCAAACUCAAGGGCUGGCAGUUAAAAAAAGUUAAAAAAGCAUAAUUUAUUCAAUUAAUAUGUUAUGAGAGGGAAAAAUGUUGCCUUAUACAUUACAGUUGGACACAUCAACAUGUCCCCCCAGUCAGUUAAGGACAUAACUGAACUAAACAGCACCAUCAAUCAACUGGAUUUAAUAUCAACAUUAUGGAAUAUUUUAUCCAAGAAAAGCAGAAUACGUAACUCUUCUCUUCUCACACAGAACAUUCAUCAUGACAGAC